RNAcentral lists this signal recognition particle RNA (103 nucleotides) under Acidobacteriota bacterium. RNAcentral describes it as "Acidobacteria bacterium signal recognition particle sRNA small type". It matches the Rfam family "Bacterial small signal recognition particle RNA". From Rfam's summary of the family: The signal recognition particle (SRP) is a universally conserved ribonucleoprotein involved in the co-translational targeting of proteins to membranes. Archaeal SRP consists of a 7S RNA and homologues of the eukaryotic SRP19 and SRP54 proteins. The record is from RNAcentral. Lineage: Bacteria; Pseudomonadati; Acidobacteriota.
GGUCCGGAACCUGUGCAAUUUUCAGUCUGCGAACCGCGUCAGGGCCGGAAGGCAGCAGCGCUCACCAGAUCCUGAAAUGUGCCGCAGGGACCUCCGGGCCGCG